RNAcentral lists this ribosomal RNA (91 nucleotides) under Actinobaculum suis. The record is from RNAcentral. Lineage: Bacteria; Bacillati; Actinomycetota; Actinomycetes; Actinomycetales; Actinomycetaceae.
CCCGGUUUCCAUUUCGAACCCGGUAGCUAAGGUCGCCUGCGCUGAUGGUACUGCGCUCGGGAGGGCGUGGGAGAGUAGGUCGCUGCCGCCA